This 528-nucleotide ribosomal RNA is filed under the name uncultured bacterium. RNAcentral's name for it is "bacterial SSU rRNA". It matches the Rfam family "Bacterial small subunit ribosomal RNA", at positions 28 to 545 of the family's 1533-position model. The record is from RNAcentral.
AUUGAACGCUGGCGGCAGGCCUAACACAUGCAAGUCGAACGGUAACAGGAAGCAGCUUGCUGCUUCGCUGACGAGUGGCGGACGGGUGAGUAAUGUCUGGGAAACUGCCCGAUGGAGGGGGAUAACUACUGGAAACGGUAGCUAAUACCGCAUAAUGUCGCAAGACCAAAGAGGGGGACCUUCGGGCCUCUUGCCAUCGGAUGUGCCCAGAUGGGAUUAGCUUGUUGGUGAGGUAACGGCUCACCAAGGCGACGAUCCCUAGCUGGUCUGAGAGGAUGACCAGCCACACUGGAACUGAGACACGGUCCAGACUCCUACGGGAGGCAGCAGUGGGGAAUAUUGCACAAUGGGCGCAAGCCUGAUGCAGCCAUGCCGCGUGUAUGAAGAAGGCCUUCGGGUUGUAAAGUACUUUCAGCGGGGAGGAAGGGGUUAAGGUUAAUAACCUUAGCCAUUGACGUUACCCGCAGAAGAAGCACCGGCUAACUCCGUGCCAGCAGCCGCGGUAAUACGGAGGGUGCAAGCGUUAAU